This 805-nucleotide long non-coding RNA is filed under the name Equus caballus (horse). Its description in RNAcentral is "lncRNA (ENSECAG00000045616.1)". Lineage: Eukaryota; Metazoa; Chordata; Mammalia; Perissodactyla; Equidae. The record is from RNAcentral.
ACUUAACAUCUUGCUUACACAUGAUCAUAUAUGAGUCAUGUAUUUAACUUUUUAAAAUUAUACUUUGACCAUUUUCGAGACCCAUCAAGAUAUCCAAGUGGACUCACUUUCUGGAGCCUAUAAGCUGUGUUUCCUAAGCAAUGCUCUUCCUGAAGUGAAUUUCUCUCCCUUCAGAGUGAAAGACAAAAUAGACUCUAUAUCAGUGUGUAUAAUCAAAUCAAGGUGGUCCAAAGAAAAGUUUCUCCUUGAUUUUGACCAUGAAUAAUGAGCUUCAGUAAUCAACAAGUGCUCUUCACAAUACAGGAUUCAGGAAAGGAGUGAGAACUGCAUCAAAGAUGGCCAGAAACUUACCUACAUGUCUGGAGGGACAUGGCCAUGUAUAGAAGAAUAUCAAAGGACCAAAGAACAGGAGCACCACAGUGAUGUGAGCUGACAGUGUGGACAGAGCCUUUGAUGAACCAGAGGAAGAAUGUUUCUGAACAGUGUCUGUGCAGGCAAGUUUGAUGAACUGAGGAAGGUCACAGUAAAAGCUGUCCAACACAUUAGGACCACAGAAGGGUAAGUUUACCACAAAAGCCAAUUGAACUGUGGAGUGGAUAAGGCCAGUCAUCCAGGCAGCCACUAAAAAGAAGACGCACAUUCUUGGGCUCAUGAUGGUCAGAUAGUGGAGGGGCUUACAUAUGGCAACAUAUCUGUCAAAGGCCAUGGCUAUGAGCAGCACCAUCUCCACACCACCAAUGACAUGGAUGAAGAAGAUUUGAGUGAUGCAGCCUCUAAAGGAGAUGAGUUUACGCUUUCUGAAAAG